RNAcentral lists this ribosomal RNA (674 nucleotides) under uncultured Dechloromonas sp. RNAcentral describes it as "bacterial SSU rRNA". It matches the Rfam family "Bacterial small subunit ribosomal RNA", at positions 853 to 1526 of the family's 1533-position model. The record is from RNAcentral. Lineage: Bacteria; Pseudomonadati; Pseudomonadota; Betaproteobacteria; Rhodocyclales; Azonexaceae.
UAACGCGUGAAGUUGACCGCCUGGGGAGUACGGCCGCAAGGUUAAAACUCAAAGGAAUUGACGGGGACCCGCACAAGCGGUGGAUGAUGUGGAUUAAUUCGAUGCAACGCGAAAAACCUUACCUACCCUUGACAUGUCCAGAAGCCUGAAGAGAUUUGGGUGUGCCCGAAAGGGAACUGGAACACAGGUGCUGCAUGGCUGUCGUCAGCUCGUGUCGUGAGAUGUUGGGUUAAGUCCCGCAACGAGCGCAACCCUUGUCGUUAAUUGCCAUCAUUUAGUUGGGCACUUUAACGAGACUGCCGGUGACAAACCGGAGGAAGGUGGGGAUGACGUCAAGUCCUCAUGGCCCUUAUGGGUAGGGCUUCACACGUCAUACAAUGGUCGGUACAGAGGGUUGCCAAACCGCGAGGUGGAGCCAAUCCCAGAAAGCCGAUCGUAGUCCGGAUUGGAGGCUGCAACUCGCCUCCAUGAAGUCGGAAUCGCUAGUAAUCGCGGAUCAGCAUGUCGCGGUGAAUACGUUCCCGGGUCUUGUACGCACCGCCCGUCACACCAUGGGAGUGGGUUCUGCCAGAAGUAGGUAGCCUAACCGCAAGGGGGGCGCUUACCACGGCAGGGUUCAUGACUGGGGUGAAGUCGUAACAAGGUAGCCGUAGGGGAACCUGCGGCUGGAUCAC